UACGGAGGAUCCAAGCGUUAUCCGGAAUCAUUGGGUUUAAAGGGUCCGUAGGCGGUUUGGUAAGUCAGUGGUGAAAGCCCAUCGCUCAACGGUGGAACGGCCAUUGAUACUGCCAGACUUGAAUUAUUAGGAAGUAACUAGAAUAUGUAGUGUAGCGGUGAAAUGCUUAGAGAUUACAUGGAAUACCAAUUGCGAAGGCAGGUUACUACUAAUGGAUUGACGCUGAUGGACGAAAGCGUGGGGUAGCGAAACAGGA
RNAcentral lists this ribosomal RNA (256 nucleotides) under uncultured bacterium. Its description in RNAcentral is "partial 16S ribosomal RNA". It matches the Rfam family "Bacterial small subunit ribosomal RNA", at positions 524 to 777 of the family's 1533-position model. The record is from RNAcentral.